This 491-nucleotide ribosomal RNA is filed under the name uncultured bacterium. RNAcentral's name for it is "partial 16S ribosomal RNA". It matches the Rfam family "Bacterial small subunit ribosomal RNA", at positions 29 to 507 of the family's 1533-position model. The record is from RNAcentral.
GUGCACGCUGGCGGUGGGCCUAACACAUGCAAGUCGAACGGCAGCACAGUAAGAGCUUGCUCUUACGGGUGGCGAGUGGCGGACGGGUGAGGAAUACAUCGGAAUCUACUUUUUCGUGGGGGAUAACGUAGGGAAACUUACGCUAAUACCGCAUACGACCUACGGGUGAAAGCAGGGGAUCUUCGGACCUUGCGCGAUUGAAUGAGCCGAUGUCGGAUUAGCUAGUUGGCGGGGUAAAGGCCCACCAAGGCGACGAUCCGUAGCUGGUCUGAGAGGAUGAUCAGCCACACUGGAACUGAGACGCGGUCCAGACUCCUACGGGAGGCAGCAGUGGGGAAUAUUGGACAAUGGGCGCAAGCCUGAUCCAGCCAUACCGCGUGGGUGAAGAAGGCCUUCGGGUUGUAAAGCCCUUUUGUUGGGAAAGAAAAGCAGCAGGUUAAUACCCCGCUGUUCUGACGGUACCCAAAGAAUAAGCACCGGCUAACUUCGUG